UUGAGAGAGCAUAGAAUGACGGAUGGUUGUGAAUGUGUGAACGUGCCCCUUUCCUUGCCCCAUGUUGGUGGGUGAUUGAUCGUAGCUCGGUGCGAUCUGCACCAAGGAAAAAACGAAUUCGGAAGCAGAGGGCCCCUUUGGCGUCUGCGGGGGGUGCCCAAUGCGUCGGAGAUUCCUCGGAAUCA
RNAcentral lists this unclassified non-coding RNA (185 nucleotides) under Globba schomburgkii. The record is from RNAcentral. Lineage: Eukaryota; Viridiplantae; Streptophyta; Magnoliopsida; Zingiberales; Zingiberaceae.